UUCGACCUCAAUCAGAGGC
Molecule: ribosomal RNA, 19 nt
Filed under: uncultured Glomus
Lineage: Eukaryota; Fungi; Glomeromycota; Glomeromycetes; Glomerales; Glomeraceae
Description: partial 28S ribosomal RNA
Source: RNAcentral